GCCCUUUUAACUCAGUGGUAGAGUAAUGCCAUGGUAAGGCAUAAGUCAUCGGUUC
This 55-nucleotide transfer RNA is filed under the name Bromus tectorum (cheatgrass). RNAcentral's name for it is "partial tRNA-Thr". It matches the Rfam family "tRNA", at positions 1 to 54 of the family's 71-position model. From Rfam's summary of the family: Transfer RNA (tRNA) molecules are approximately 80 nucleotides in length. Their secondary structure includes four short double-helical elements and three loops (D, anti-codon, and T loops). Lineage: Eukaryota; Viridiplantae; Streptophyta; Magnoliopsida; Poales; Poaceae. The record is from RNAcentral.